UGGGGAAUUUUCCGCAAUGGGCGAAAGCCUGACGGAGCAACGCCCGCGUGAGGGAUGAAGGCUUCUGGGCUGUAAACCUCUUUUAUCAAGGAAGAAGAUCUGACGGUACUUGAUGAAUAAGCCACGGCUAAUUCCGUGCCAGCAGCCGCGGUAAUACGGGAGUGGCAAGCGUUAUCCGGAAUUAUUGGGCGUAAAGCGUCCGCAGGCGGCCCUUCAAGUCUGCUGUUAAAAAGUGGAGCUUAACUCCAUCAUGGCAGUGGAAACUGUUGGGCUUGAGUGUGGUAGGGGCAGAGGGAAUUCCCGGUGUAGCGGUGAAAUGCGUAGAUAUCGGGAAGAACACCAGUGGCGAAGGCGCUCUGCUGGGCCAUCACUGACGCUCAUGGACGAAAGCCAGGGGAGCGAAAGGGAUUAGAUACCCCUGUAGUCCUGGCCGUAAACGAUGANCCCUAGGUGUCGGGGGAAUCGACCCCCUCGGUGUCGUAGCCAACGCGUUAAGUGUUCCGCCUGGGGAGUACGCACGCAAGUGUGAAACUCAAAGGAACGGGGGCCCGCACAAGCGGUGGAGUAUGUGGUUUAAUUCGAUGCAACGCGAAGAACCUUACCAGGGUUUGACAUCCUGCGAAUCUCUUGGAAACGAGAGAUCGCCUUCGGGAACGCAGUGAC
This 663-nucleotide ribosomal RNA is filed under the name uncultured marine bacterium. Its description in RNAcentral is "bacterial SSU rRNA". It matches the Rfam family "Bacterial small subunit ribosomal RNA", at positions 355 to 1035 of the family's 1533-position model. The record is from RNAcentral.